AAUAUUUGAGAGAGCAAACCGUGAGAGAGAAGGGAGAAAGAAGAAGAAGAGAAAAGAGGGGAAAAUAAGGGAAAAAGGAAAGGAGUUGGAGGAAAUAAGUAAAAAGGGGUAAGAUUAUGCUUUAAUGUGUAUAAUAUGUUUUCUUUAGCUUUAAUUUCGGUUUUGAUAAAUGUUAGGGUUUUGAAUAUUGUGUUUUGAGUUUGAUUGAUGAAUUAAUUGGAAGGUUAUGAGUUGAUUGUUGUGGGUAAUUGGUUAAUUAGUUGAUUGUGAGAGAUUGGAGGUAAAGAUGAUGAUUUUGAGUUAUGAUUUUAUUUGAAUGGUGAAAUUGUGUUAGAAAUUAGGAGAUGACAGUAGGUAAUCUGUAAAAUUCUGGGUUUGAGGUUGAAGAUGACGAAAAUUCAAUUUGGUCCCUCAAUUUGUGAAAUUACAGUUUAGUCCCUAAACUUUGGGAAAAUUAUAAUUUGACCCCUAAUUGUAUUUUGAGAUUCUGGACAGUGUUAUUAUGAGGUUAAGGAUGAUGAAUCUGAGUUUGAUAAUUGAUUUGGAAUAUUUUCAGUUUGGUCCCUUAAUUUUGGGAAUUUACAUUUUAGUCCCUGAACUUUAUGAAAAUUACAGUUCGGUCCCUGGUUCGUUCUAGACAGAAUUAAGGACGGUUUAUGGGUGAAAAUUCAGUAUAGUUAUGUAUUUUCCAGAUUGGUCCAAUUUUGGUAAAAUUACGUUUUGGUCCUUGUUUUGGAAAAUUGUCGUUUUAGUCCAUAAACUUAGGAGACUAAAGCUGAUUUUAUUUUAUGCAUUGGGAUCUUUUGUUUGAGUUAUUUUUGAGUAUAUUUCAUAUAUUGUUGUAGGUUCUCCUAACAAUCCUCAAUAGGAUUUUCGGGUCUUUCGUCUGACAUUCCUUUUAGUUCUAUAUUUUCCGGGUGAGUGGGAUAAUCUUUAAUAUGCAUAUAUGAUAAGUAAAUAUGUAUGUUGAUUAUACAAUGAGUACAACUCGUUAAUUCCUUGAAUAAUUAUAUAUGUUGCUUAUUUUCCAAGUACUCAUUUAUUCUUGAAUUUGCACUCGCAAUCUGUCAAAGUAAAUCCUAUUUGAUAUGAUAUACGUUUCUUUGAUGAUUAUAUGAAUAUCUAUUAUGCCUUGAUAUGGGACUUGUCAGUAACUCCAUGCUAACGGAGAGUAGUUAGCCUGUGUGCACAUAGUAUUCUGUAUGUAUACCUAGCUGGUGAGAGAGGCAUCAGCCUGUGGCGACUGAUCAUCCCACAGUGGUCACCUUCGGGUGUCAUCUGGUCUGGUCACCUUCGGGUGUCAUCUGGUCACCUUCGGGUGUCAUCUGAUCUCUGACAUAUAGUCCACUACGUUAUGAUGAUACGUUUAGUAUGUAUAUGAUAUGUAUAUGUAUAUGUACAUCAAGAUAAAUGAUCUCAAGAAUAUCUAAAAUGUAUAUUAAUUAUUAUUCCCUCACUGAGUUGGUUGAACUCACCCCUCAUUCUUAAUAUUAUUUCAGGUUCUUAGUUUCUGAUAGCAGGUGAACCUUGUUGAGUGUUCCUGCUUCUUCAGUUUUGGGUCGGUAUGCCUUGCUUAUGUUUCAAGGUUGUUUGAUUCGAUGUCUUAGGCGCUCCACUAUUACCUUAUUUUGAUUAAGUUUGGAUUUUGACAAUGUAAUGAGUAUUAUGGAUUAUUGUUUUGUUUUAAUUACUGAUGAGGAGUUUUAAAUUAUCUUUUGGUUUCAUCAGUUUUGAAUAAUAUAAGAUUUCUGAAGAUUAUGAAAUGCUGCGUAUUUUUGAAAUAAAGUAUUCUUUCGAUAUGUCCGUUUUGAGGCUUAGCGCGGGCGGGGUGUCCUUCCGGCACCGCUCCCGCGUUGCCGGUCACGGACCCGGGACUCGGGUCGUGACAA
RNAcentral lists this long non-coding RNA (1889 nucleotides) under Populus trichocarpa (black cottonwood). RNAcentral's name for it is "long non-coding RNA (PTRI_LNC001313)". The record is from RNAcentral. Lineage: Eukaryota; Viridiplantae; Streptophyta; Magnoliopsida; Malpighiales; Salicaceae.